AAAUGCUUUAAAAAUUAUUAUUCUAUUCUAUUUUAUUUUGAUUCGACCUAAUCUACUGUAUUGUUGAUUAUUUUGUAAAAUUCAAAGAGAGUUUUGAUAAUAAUAAUUAUUAUUUUUGAAUAAAAAAUAAAACGAACCAUUAGAGGUUCGUGACGUAUAAUGAUUCAUAGGUCAUCAAUACAUAAGUUGUUGAUCAAUUAUGGGUCGUCACAUAAUCACAUGGGACUGUGUAAUUUAUACAAUCACAACAAGCUUUGUACAAAUUAUUAAAUUAAUUGUUCCCAAUUCAUUUUAAAUUCCAAAUGUUAAUGCAUGUAUGGUGGAGAAGUUACGUCGCCAUGUUCUUGUUAUACCAUUAAUUGUGUUUAAGUGUUCUAAUUGAUUUUAAAAUGAAUUCGGUGGAAAGCUUUUCCCCCAAAAGUCGAAGCAGAAACAUGAACCCUGUCUCAUGGCAUUUUUAGUUUUAGGGUUCGGCGUAUCUAUGCACAGCUACUAGGGCAAGAAACACAUGAACCCUAGCUAUUUUCUUUCCGGAAUUUUUCAGAUGGCGACUGCAGCUAAUUCUGACUGUGGAACAAUCGCCUUUAUCACGACUGAGUAAAUUAUUACCAGAUGUGAUAAAUUUAAUUGUGGAAACUAUUUUCUAAUCCACUUGCUUUUGGUAGCACUUGAGAUAAGUAGCAGAACAAGAAUUUUGAUUCAAAGGGGGUCAUAGUUGUAAUAUAAUAUCACCAAAAUUAAACGUCAAAAUCAUAAUAUUAUGUAAAAAAGAGGUGGCCAAAGUACAAAAUUUAUAUGUGGUAAAAUUUCAAAUCAGGCCUUAAUUUUCUUGUAAUUUUUUAAAGCUACUCAGGCUUGUACAGCUGUACCUCGUUCCGGCAUUACUUAUGACACCAUUGUUCCAGUCGAUUGAGUAAUUAAUUCAAGCCGAAAAGAUUAGUAACAUUUAUCCUUUUACGAAAAUAUGAUACUCAUUUUUUUCAUUUGAAUUUUCUUUUCCUGUUCACUUGAUACCAUAAACACAAAUCAUCUUGAUUUCUACCAGUACAAUGAGUGAAUUGACCAAGUAAAACCUAGCUUUAUAUUGUCAUUGGACACAUGUACUUCCACCAACAAAUUAAGAUUUAAAAACUGACCUAAACUAGAUCACCAAGUAGCUAUCAUUUCAUCUUUUCCUUUCAUCAUUUCACUAGAAGCCUUUUAUUUGGAAACUAUAUAGAUUGAUCGAUUGCAAAUUGAACAAUGGAAAGAAUUAAUAAUUAAUGUGCAAAGUUAACAGAAAUGAGACUAGGUCAUACUUUAAAUUUGCUUAAUUAUAAGUAAGUCUCUUAUUGGCACUCGAUUCUUUUGAAUUUAACAAAUUAAUAAUAGCUAGAUAAUUAUUCCAAGAUGCAUGUAUAUAUGGAGAAGACUUGACUUUGAGAAAAUUAAAGGUAAUUAUGUGUUUUUUAGGUACAAUUGUACGAAGAGAUGCAAAAGAGUUAAAUUUAGGGUUGGUAUCCUUUUAAAACUUAAGUUAUUGCAAAAUAACAACUGGGUGCUUUUAACGUUACUAAAAAAUUACAAAAACUUUCAAUUGACUGCUAAAAAUAUACAAAAUCUAACAUUUUUUCUACUAAUAUUUAACUCCGUUGUCUUAGAAGUGCAUGUGCUAAUGAUGAGCACAAUUUGGAACCCAAAAUCCAUUUGAUAAUUUUUAACAUCAGCAGCAUCGCCAUGUCACUUUCAGAGCAUUUAAGCCCAUUUUGGGAUCAAAUUCAACCGGUUAAAAGCCCAAAAAUAUGGCAGCCCAAAGACAACAAAACGCCAGCAAAAUUCAAAAUUAUGUCAAACCUUCCGAUUAGCACUAGUUGAUCUUGUAUUUCAUUAAUUAAUUUGGUAUAUUUGUUUAGAGUUAAUUUUCCGUUUACCCCUAAAUAAAUUAAGGAGCAGGCCUGCAUUCUGCCAAUGUACUUGUGGCAGAUACAUAAUGGUUUGUGUUGGUGACAAAAAUGACAUAACUUCUUAAGCAAAUUAAUACUGGGCAUGCUGGCAAAUUGCCUAUGUAUCAAUUAAACAAAAACGUCUCAUUUUAUAGCUUAUUGUAAUCCCGAAAUCUCUAUUAAAAACAAAGAGAUCAAGAUUCUCUCUUAACGUGAUCUCUUAUUUGAGCACAUAAAACAUUAUAUUUGGCGGUUAGUAAAUAUGAAUAUAAUAAAGAAAUAUAUCUUGAUCGGGAAAAAAAAUAAAAAUACACAUAUUAAAUAAUUCUUCAAAAUUUAGGCUCAGAAGUUACACAACUAUAGUCUUUUAAGUUACAAUAUUAAAAUAUUUGGUAAACACUUACUAUUAUUACUUAAAAGGUAAGUUAAUUUGAUUUUAUUAGGUAAAAAUUUAUAACAUAUUUACUAUUUUUAUCAAAAUUAUUAUUUAAAUAUCAUACUUACGACAUAUUAUUAAUUUUUAUUUUAGAGUGAAGAUGUCCAACGGAUCGUGCCGUAUCGUUAAAAAGAGGCCAGUCGUGCCAAUGGAAUGGCAUGACACAACUCAUUAAUUUCAUGGACCAUGUUGUGGCAAGCAUGAUAACUAUUUCUUCAGGGCCUAUGGACCUCAAUUUAUUUAUUUAUCUUUUUUUUUUGGUGCAUUUGUUAAGCCUUCGACGUACUCAAUGUAAGCCGAUUUUCCUAAUAUCCACUUGGUUAAACAUAUCUAAUUAUUAAGAAAGCAAAACAAUAAUAUGCAAAUACUAAAAUAAAUUAUAGUGCUUUUUUAAUAUGUAUGUAUUAUAACCCGAUCGAGUGUUAAAAUUCAAACCGUUCAGAUUUUAGAAUUAACCCAAAUCAAACUUAAACCCGAAAUUAAUUUUAGGUUCGAUUCGAGUUAACCUGAAUACCACCCUCACAUGAGUUAUAUUCUUGUAAAUAUUUUGGUUUCAGUUCCUAUUAUUUGAAAUCGAUUGGUAUUGGUUUGGUUCGAUUAUGGUCCAUAACCGAACCAAAUUGUUAAAUGCCCAUCCCUACAUGUAUGUACUCAUUGUAAGAUAGUUUUUUUUCUCGUAUCCACUUGCCUAAACAUAUCUAAUUAUUAAAAAAAGCAUAAUAAUAAUAUAUGUCAACCUUUUACUAGUGACUAGUAGGGAUGGCAAACAGCGAGCUUGGGCCGGGUUUUUUCAAGCCCAUGUCCAGACCCUCUAUCAGCUAAGUGUACGGGCCCGGGCCGGGCCCAUUACGGGCCUGGGCCGGGCUU
RNAcentral lists this long non-coding RNA (3225 nucleotides) under Citrus x clementina. Its description in RNAcentral is "Citrus clementina (C. clementina) long non-coding RNA (CCLE_LNC004542)". Lineage: Eukaryota; Viridiplantae; Streptophyta; Magnoliopsida; Sapindales; Rutaceae. The record is from RNAcentral.